RNAcentral lists this ribosomal RNA (305 nucleotides) under uncultured bacterium. RNAcentral describes it as "bacterial SSU rRNA". It matches the Rfam family "Bacterial small subunit ribosomal RNA", at positions 333 to 635 of the family's 1533-position model. The record is from RNAcentral.
GGUCUCCUACGGGGGGCAGCAGUGAGGAAUAUUGGUCAAUGGCCGAGAGGCUGAACCAGCCAAGUCGCGUGAGGGAUGACGGCCCUACGGGUUGUAAACCUCUUUUGUCGGGGAGCAAGACCCGCCUCGUGCAGGCGGAGCGAGAGUACCCGAAGAAAGAGCAUCGGCUAACUCCGUGCCAGCAGCCGCGGUAAUACGGAGGAUGCGAGCGUUAUCCGGAUUUAUUGGGUUUAAAGGGUGCGCAGGCGGACCAUCAAGUCAGCGGUAAAAUGUCCGGGCUCAACCCGGGCCGGCCGUUGAAACUG